GGUAUAGCUUUAAUUGGUCAGAGCAGGUGGCUGUUAACCACAAGGUUGGAGGUUCAAGUCCUUCUACCA
Molecule: transfer RNA, 69 nt
Filed under: Crassvirales sp.
Lineage: Duplodnaviria; Heunggongvirae; Uroviricota; Caudoviricetes; Crassvirales
Description: tRNA-Asn
Rfam family: tRNA
About the family: Transfer RNA (tRNA) molecules are approximately 80 nucleotides in length. Their secondary structure includes four short double-helical elements and three loops (D, anti-codon, and T loops). Further hydrogen bonds mediate the characteristic L-shaped molecular structure. tRNAs have two regions of fundamental functional importance: the anti-codon, which is responsible for specific mRNA codon recognition, and the 3' end, to which the tRNAs corresponding amino acid is attached (by aminoacyl-tRNA synthetases). tRNAs cope with the degeneracy of the genetic code in two manners: having more than one tRNA (with a specific anti-codon) for a particular amino acid; and 'wobble' base-pairing, i.e. permitting non-standard base-pairing at the 3rd anti-codon position.
Source: RNAcentral